UAAUAUCUGGGAAACUGCCCGAUGGAGGGGGAUAACUACUGGAAACGGUAGCUAAUACCGCAUAACGUCGCAAGACCAAAGAGGGGGACCUUCGGGCCUCUUGCCAUCGGAUGUGCCCAGAUGGGAUUAGCUAGUUGGUGAGGUAACGGCUCACCAAGGCGACGAUCCCUAGCUGGUCUGAGAGGAUGACCAGCCACACUGGAACUGAGACACGGUCCAGACUCCUACGGGAGGCAGCAGUGGGGAAUAUUGCACAAUGGGCGCAAGCCUGAUGCAGCCAUGCCGCGUGU
This 290-nucleotide ribosomal RNA is filed under the name Citrobacter sp. Its description in RNAcentral is "partial 16S ribosomal RNA". It matches the Rfam family "Bacterial small subunit ribosomal RNA", at positions 111 to 404 of the family's 1533-position model. Lineage: Bacteria; Pseudomonadati; Pseudomonadota; Gammaproteobacteria; Enterobacterales; Enterobacteriaceae. The record is from RNAcentral.